This 253-nucleotide ribosomal RNA is filed under the name uncultured bacterium. RNAcentral describes it as "partial 16S ribosomal RNA". It matches the Rfam family "Bacterial small subunit ribosomal RNA", at positions 524 to 776 of the family's 1533-position model. The record is from RNAcentral.
UACAGAGAGUGCGAACGUUGUUCGGAAUUACUGGGCUUAAAGCGCACGUAGGCGGCGUCGUAAGUGUCAGGUGAAAUCCCACGGCUCACCCGUGGAACUGCCUGGCAUACUGCGGCGCUCGAGUGUGGUAGGGGAGAGCGGAACUCCUGGUGGAGCGGUGAAAUGCGUAGAUAUCAGGAGGAACACCGGUGGCGAAGGCGGCUCUCUGGUCCACAACUGACGCUGAGGUGCGAAAGCUAGGGGAGCGAACAGG